GCCAUUGCAAACACGAAGCUCUUCCAGAAACGCCCUCACAGACACCCCGGAAGUCACGUACCCACUCUGUAGGUGCCCCGGGGCACAGGCAAGCGGACGAGCCAGUUAUCCCUCAGAGCUCCUGCUGCCUCGCCCGCUUUCUCUCGGAAACGUGAAGUGUGGCCUCAGCUGAAAGUGAGGUGGGCCUCAUUCAAUCAGUUGAAUUCUUCAAGAGAGAAAAACUGAAGUCCCUUAGAAGGAAAGAGUUCUGCCUUCAGACUGUCUUUGAACUUAAGACUGUAGCGUCGACUCCUGCCGGAAUUUCCAGCCUGCUGGCCAGCUCUGCAGAUUCACACUUGCCAGCCUCCACAAUCCAGGAAGGCAGCCAUCUGUGAGCCAGAAAGUGAGCCCUCACCUGAUGGCCAAGCCUGCUGAUGCUUUGGUUUUGGACUUUCCAGCCUCCAGAAUGGCAGCUGAGGCGGAGGAACCCUAAGGGCUCAUUGAGAUCAUGGAUUUGCCCUUCUAUGCAUUGAUGGAGCACCUGCUGCCCACAGCGUCUGUAUUUGGUGCUGGGAUGCUGAGGACACUGAGAUCUUCAAACAGAGGCUGCCACUCUAAGCAAACAGAUCCCGAGCCCUGGACUCUGAAGCUUGGGCCCAGUUCUCCUUUUCUCCGGGUUUCAGAUCCCACUGUGAAGUGAGGGGGCCCUUCUGAUUCAGGACCCGGGGAAGCCAGGGGCAUGAGCAUCGGUGCCUCUUCUCUAUUUCAAGGACCCUUCUGGGUGUAAAGUUCUCUGAGAUGCCUUACAUGGAUUCCCACCACUGCAAGAUAACCAUCGUAUGUAAAGUGUUAUGACCAGCAGAGCGUAAUUGAAGUGCAUUCCAGAGGGAAAGACAGCGGCUCAGUCUCACUCUGUUGCCCAGGUUGGAAUUCAGUGGCAUGAUCUCGACUCACGGCAAUCUCGCAAUCUCUGCCUCCCAGGUUCAAGUGAUUCUCCUGCCUCAGCCUACCAAGUAGCUGGGAUUACAGAGCAUAACGUUCUCAAGGCUCAGCCACACUGUAGCCUGUGUCAGAACUUCAUUCCUGGCUGGGUGCCGUGGCUCACACCUGUAAUCCCAGCACUUUGGGAGGCUGAGGCGGGCAGAUCACUUGCAGUCAGAUGUUCAAGACCAGCCUGGCCAACAUGGUGAAAACCCAUCUCUACUAAACAUACAAAAAUUAGCCGGGCGUGGUGACACACAUCUUUAGUCCCAGCUACUCAGUAGGUUGAGGCAGGAGAAUUGCUUGAACCUGGGAGGUGGAGGUUGCAGUGAGCCAGGAUCACACCACUUCACUCCAGCCUGGGAGACAGAGCAAGACUCUGUCACAACAAACGAACAAACAAACAAACAAAACUUCAUUCCUUUUUAUGGAGGAACACUACCAUAUUUCAUUGUAUAAAUAUACCACAUUUUGUGAUACACCA
Molecule: long non-coding RNA, 1444 nt
Organism: Homo sapiens (human)
Lineage: Eukaryota; Metazoa; Chordata; Mammalia; Primates; Hominidae
Gene: EPIC1
Product: epigenetically induced MYC interacting lncRNA 1
Source: Ensembl